GUGGGGAAUAUUGGACAAUGGGCGCAAGCCUGAUCCAGCAAUGCCGCGUGCAGGAAGAAGGCCUUCGGGUUGUAAACUGCUUUUGUACGGAACGAAACGGUCCGGGUUAAUACCCUGGGCUAAUGACGGUACCGUAAGAAUAAGCACCGGCUAACUACGUGCCAGCAGCCGCGGUAAUACGUAGGGUGCAAGCGUUAAUCGGAAUUACUGGGCGUUAAGCGUGCGCAGGCGGUUUUGUAAGACAGGCGUGAAAUCCCCGGGCUCAACCUGGGAAUUGCGAUUGUGACUGCGAGGCUGGAGUGCGGCAGAGGGGGAUGGAAUUCCGCGUGUAGCAGUGAAAUGCGUAGAUAUGCGGAGGAACACCGAUGGCGAAGGCAAUCCCCUGGGCCUGCACUGACGCUCAUGCACGAAAGCGUGGGGAGCAAACAGGAUUAGAAACCCGAGUAGUCC
RNAcentral lists this ribosomal RNA (450 nucleotides) under uncultured bacterium. RNAcentral's name for it is "partial 16S ribosomal RNA". It matches the Rfam family "Bacterial small subunit ribosomal RNA", at positions 354 to 796 of the family's 1533-position model. The record is from RNAcentral.